GACGAACGCUGGCGGCGUGCUUAACACAUGCAAGUCGAACGAGAAUCUGUGGAAAGAGGAUUCGUCCAAUUGAAGCAGAGGACAGUGGCGGACGGGUGAGUAACGCGUGAGGAACCUGCCUUUCAGAGGGGGACAACAGUUGGAAACGACUGCUAAUACCGCAUGACACAUAGGUGUCGCAUGGCACUUAUGUCAAAGAUUUAUCGCUGAAAGAUGGCCUCGCGUCUGAUUAGCUAGUUGGUGAGGUAACGGCCCACCAAGGCGACGAUCAGUAGCCGGACUGAGAGGUUGAACGGCCACAUUGGGACUGAGAUACGGCCCAGACUCCUACGGGAGGCAGCAGUGGGGAAUAUUGGGCAAUGGGCGCAAGCCUGACCCAGCAACGCCGCGUGAAGGAAGAAGGCUUUCGGGUUGUAAACUUCUUUUGUCAGGGACGAGUAGAAGACGGUACCUGACGAAUAAGCCACGGCUAACUACGUGCCAGCAGCCGCGGUAAUACGUAGGUGGCAAGCGUUGUCCGGAUUUACUGGGUGUAAAGGGCGUGUAGCCGGGAGGGCAAGUCAGAUGUGAAAUCCACGGGCUCAACUCGUGAACUGCAUUUGAAACUACUCUUCUUGAGUAUCGGAGAGGCAAUCGGAAUUCCUAGUGUGGCGGUGAAAUGCGUAGAUAUUAGGAGGAACACCAGUGGCGAAGGCGGAUUGCUGGACGACAACUGACGGUGAGGCGCGAAAGCGUGGGGAGCAAACAAGAUUAGAUACCCUGGUAGUCCACGCUGUAAAC
RNAcentral lists this ribosomal RNA (780 nucleotides) under uncultured bacterium. Its description in RNAcentral is "bacterial SSU rRNA". It matches the Rfam family "Bacterial small subunit ribosomal RNA", at positions 28 to 807 of the family's 1533-position model. The record is from RNAcentral.